UGGGGAAUAUUGGGCAAUGGGCGAAAGCCUGACCCAGCAACGCCGCGUGAGUGAUGAAGGCCUUCGGGUUGUAAAACUCUUUGGACAGGGACGAAGAAAGUGACGGUACCUGUAGAACAAGCCACGGCUAACUACGUGCCAGCAGCCGCGGUAAUACGUAUGGGGCGAGCGUUGUCCGGAAUUAUUGGGCGUAAAGGGUACGUAGGUGGUCUAUUAAGUCAGGUGUGAAAGCGUGAGGCUUAACCUCAUUAAGCACUUGAAACUGAUAGACUUGAGUGAAGGAGAGGAAGGUGGAAUUCCUAGUGUAGCGGUGAAAUGCGUAGAUAUUAGGAGGAAUACCGGUGGCGAAGGCGACUUUCUGGACUUUUACUGACGCUCAGGUACGAAAGCGUGGGGAGCAAACAGG
RNAcentral lists this ribosomal RNA (406 nucleotides) under Verrucomicrobiota bacterium. RNAcentral's name for it is "Verrucomicrobia bacterium partial 16S ribosomal RNA". It matches the Rfam family "Bacterial small subunit ribosomal RNA", at positions 355 to 776 of the family's 1533-position model. The record is from RNAcentral. Lineage: Bacteria; Pseudomonadati; Verrucomicrobiota.